CAAGAGUGACUGGUCUUCGGACUGGCUACCCGUCCUGUGUCAUGUGUUGAGGGGGACCCGAGGGCUGCGAAGCCUGAGGGCUCCUGGAGAUGAACUUCCCGGGAAGUGUUGUGGCGUGUUCUGCAGGUUCCGAAAGAUUGGGGCUUGCAGAGAACGGAUGCGACCGCCCGGGGUAUUUUUUUUACCAACUCUUGUUAGCAAGUUGAAGUCUGAACUACAAAGAUAUAAAAAAAAGCA
RNAcentral lists this unclassified non-coding RNA (237 nucleotides) under uncultured fungus. Its description in RNAcentral is "sequence contains ITS1". The record is from RNAcentral. Lineage: Eukaryota; Fungi.